AACGAACGCUGGCGGCAGGCCUUACACAUGCAAGUCGAACGGUAACAGGGAGCUUGCUCCGCUGACGAGUGGCGAACGGGUGAGUAAUAUAUCGGAACGUACCCAAGAGUGGGGGAUAACGUAGCGAAAGUUACGCUAAUACCGCAUACGAUCUAAGGAUGAAAGCAGGGGAUCUUCGGACCUUGUGCUCCUGGAGCGGC
Molecule: ribosomal RNA, 200 nt
Filed under: uncultured bacterium
Lineage: Bacteria
Description: partial 16S ribosomal RNA
Rfam family: Bacterial small subunit ribosomal RNA
Source: RNAcentral